This 36-nucleotide ribosomal RNA is filed under the name Globisporangium ultimum var. ultimum. Its description in RNAcentral is "partial 28S ribosomal RNA". Lineage: Eukaryota; Oomycota; Peronosporomycetes; Pythiales; Pythiaceae. The record is from RNAcentral.
UUGGACCUGAUAUCAGACAAGACUACCCGUAACUAA